Molecule: ribosomal RNA, 480 nt
Filed under: uncultured bacterium
Lineage: Bacteria
Description: partial 16S ribosomal RNA
Rfam family: Bacterial small subunit ribosomal RNA
Source: RNAcentral
GACGAACGCUGGCGGCGUGCCUAACACAUGCAAGUCGAGCGAAUGAAGUUCCUUCGGGAACGGAUUUAGCGGCGGACGGGUGAGUAACACGUGGGCAACCUGCCUCAUAGAGGGGAAUAGCCUUCCGAAAGGGAGAUUAAUACCGCAUAAGAUUGUAGUACCGCAUGGUACAGCAAUUAAAGGAGUAAUCCGCUAUGAGAUGGGCCCGCGGCGCAUUAGCUAGUUGGUGAGGUAACGGCUCACCAAGGCGACGAUGCGUAGCCGACCUGAGAGGGUGAUCGGCCACAUUGGGACUGAGACACGGCCCAGACUCCUACGGGAGGCAGCAGUGGGGAAUAUUGCACAAUGGGGGAAACCCUGAUGCAGCAACGCCGCGUGAGUGAUGACGGCCUUCGGGUUGUAAAGCUCUGUCUUCAGGGACGAUAAUGACGGUACCUGAGGAGGAAGCCACGGCUAACUACGUGCCAGCCGCCGCGGUAA